This 165-nucleotide microRNA precursor is filed under the name Podarcis lilfordi (Lilford's wall lizard). Lineage: Eukaryota; Metazoa; Chordata; Lepidosauria; Squamata; Lacertidae. The record is from RNAcentral.
AAGAGCCGCUGCGUGGGGAGGAGAGAGGGACAGAGUGCCGGCGUGUGUAAAGGAGCAAAGCCGGCGCGGAGAGGAGCCGCUUACACGAGUGUAAGCGGCUCCUGUCCGGUUGGCUCCUUUAAAGCAAGCAGGCUCUCUGUCCCUCUCUCCUCCCCACUCAGCUUG